GUAGGGAAUAUUGCGCAAUGGACGAAAGUCUGACGCAGCGACGCCGCGUGAGUGAUGAAGGCCUUAGGGUCGUAAAGCUCUGUUGAAUGGGAAGAAAAAAAUGACGGUACCAUUCGAGGAAGGACCGGCUAACUUCGUGCCAGCAGCCGCGGUAAUACGAGGGGUCCUAGCGUUGUUCGGAAUCAUUGGGCGUAAAGGGUGUGUAGGUGGCCAUGUAAGUCAGGUGUGAAAGCCCCGGGCUCAACCCGGGAAGUGCACUUGAUACUGCGUGGCUUGAGUACCGAAGAGGGUAGUGGAAUUCCAGGUGUAGUGGUGAAAUACGUAGAUAUCUGGAGGAACACCGGUGGCGAAGGCGGCUACCUGGUCGAGUACUGACACUGAGACACGAAAGCAUGGGGAUCAAACAGGAUUAGAUACCCUAGUAGUCC
This 428-nucleotide ribosomal RNA is filed under the name uncultured bacterium. RNAcentral describes it as "bacterial SSU rRNA". It matches the Rfam family "Bacterial small subunit ribosomal RNA", at positions 354 to 796 of the family's 1533-position model. The record is from RNAcentral.